GGGGUCGGCAUUGGCUUUGACAGCGAGACCGGUCGAUAUGUAAGCACGUAGAGCAGUGGGGGAGUGGCUCUUAAAUCUCUUCCCUCAAAGUAUAAACGGCGAAAAUAACUACGCUCUUGCUGCCUAGUCUUUCACAGAAAGACUAGAGCCUACGUCUGUUCAAGGAACAGAGGCGGGACAUCGCUCCGAAGCCACGUUUCACGGCGUCGGGAGAAGCGGUGCCGAAAAGUGAAAACAAGCCUCUUGCCGACUGAGGGCAGAGGACUGAAAUCUCAAAUGCAGGGUAAGGCUGCCCUUAUGGUGUUUGUGACAUUAGGCAGCCCUGACAACUUUUCACAAAAUAAACGUGUAGAAAGCAUAAAGGUCGCUCGUUUGGACCCGGGUUCGACUCCCGGCGGCUCCACAA
RNAcentral lists this transfer-messenger RNA (406 nucleotides) under Flavobacteriales. RNAcentral's name for it is "Merdimorpha sp017620815 Standard tmRNA". It matches the Rfam family "transfer-messenger RNA". From Rfam's summary of the family: Bacterial tmRNA, also known as 10Sa RNA or SsrA, is named for its dual tRNA and mRNA-like properties. Its role is to liberate the mRNA from a stalled ribosome. To accomplish this part of the tmRNA is used as a reading frame that ends in a translation stop signal. Lineage: Bacteria; Pseudomonadati; Bacteroidota; Flavobacteriia. The record is from RNAcentral. RNAcentral also lists the same sequence under 1 other name.